CGCCACACAAGCUUCAUGGAGUUGCAGAUCAUGUACUCAACCUUUGCUUUGUUUAUGACAUUUCAACUUCAUAUACACGCUCCUGAUUUUAGCCUGUUGGAUUGCUAGCACCUCAUAUCUGCCAAAAUACUUUCCAAAUACCAAAUACUCAAACAAAAUUUUGGCAUAAAAAGUACUUACUUUGCUGCAAGCUCCCUCACAAGCUCCCUCACAAGCUAGAAAUAUAUGCUCCAAAACUGAUGUUCCUUUAAAAUUUGUGGGCAUAAUUUUAGUCUCAACUAUGAUAGUUCAUGUAACACCGUCUCAGCUUUCUUCACCAUCUCUCUCACUUUCUUAUUUCCCGGAUCCCA
Long non-coding RNA from Arabidopsis thaliana (thale cress), 350 nucleotides. RefSeq annotates it as other RNA. The transcript has a single exon. The record is from RefSeq. Lineage: Eukaryota; Viridiplantae; Streptophyta; Magnoliopsida; Brassicales; Brassicaceae.